CCUUUGAGGAUAUGGGUCUGACCUACCCGGUGAAAUUUAAACGGUUGCAACUAGGUUGUACUAAGGUAGCAUAAUCAGUCGUUUUUUAAUUGGAAAAUAGAAUGAAGGGUUAGACGUAGAACAGCUGUUUCAUAAAAAUCAUGCGAAGUUAUCUUUUAAGUGAAAAGACUUAAGUUUUUGUAAAAGACGAGAAGACCCCGUCGAGUUUAAUUUGGGUAGUAAAUUUUUUUACUCUUUAAAAUUUUGUUGGGGCAACAGAAAAUAAUUUUUAUCAUUUUUUUUAAUUGUGAACCUUUUAUGAAAAAGAGAGAAAAAACUACCGCGGGGAUAACAGCGUUAUCUUCUUUGAAAGCUCUAAUUGAGGAGAAGGUUUGCGACCUCGAUGUUGGAUUAGGGAAACUUUAUGGUGCAGCAGCUAUAAAAGUAAGACUGUUCGUCUUUUAAUUCUUUACAUGAUUAGUU
RNAcentral lists this ribosomal RNA (462 nucleotides) under Irus ishibashianus. Its description in RNAcentral is "partial large subunit ribosomal RNA". It matches the Rfam family "Bacterial large subunit ribosomal RNA", at positions 1832 to 2611 of the family's 2925-position model. Lineage: Eukaryota; Metazoa; Mollusca; Bivalvia; Venerida; Veneridae. The record is from RNAcentral.